This 551-nucleotide ribosomal RNA is filed under the name uncultured bacterium. RNAcentral describes it as "bacterial SSU rRNA". It matches the Rfam family "Bacterial small subunit ribosomal RNA", at positions 353 to 896 of the family's 1533-position model. The record is from RNAcentral.
AGUGGGGAAUAUUGGACAAUGGGCGAAAGCCUGAUCCAGCCAUGCCGCGUGUGUGAAGAAGGCCUUCGGGUUGUAAAGCACUUUCAGUGGGGAAGAAAGCCUUGGGGCUAAUACCCUCGAGGAAGGACAUCACCCACAGAAGAAGCACCGGCUAACUCCGUGCCAGCAGCCGCGGUAAUACGGAGGGUGCGAGCGUUAAUCGGAAUUACUGGGCGUAAAGCGCGCGUAGGCGGUCUGAUAAGCCGGUUGUGAAAGCCCCGGGCUCAACCUGGGAACGGCAUCCGGAACUGUCAGGCUAGAGUGCAGGAGAGGAAGGUAGAAUUCCCGGUGUAGCGGUGAAAUGCGUAGAGAUCGGGAGGAAUACCAGUGGCGAAGGCGGCCUUCUGGACUGACACUGACGCUGAGGUGCGAAAGCGUGGGUAGCAAACAGGAUUAGAUACCCUGGUAGUCCACGCCGUAAACGAUGUCGACUAGCCGUUGGGCUCCUUGAGAGCUUUGUGGCGCAGUUAACGCGAUAAGUCGACCCCCUAAAANGNGCGGCCGCAAGGUUA